RNAcentral lists this ribosomal RNA (429 nucleotides) under Actinomycetes bacterium. Its description in RNAcentral is "Actinobacteria bacterium partial 16S ribosomal RNA". It matches the Rfam family "Bacterial small subunit ribosomal RNA", at positions 355 to 776 of the family's 1533-position model. The record is from RNAcentral. Lineage: Bacteria; Bacillati; Actinomycetota; Actinomycetes.
UAGGGAAUCUUCCGCAAUGGGCGAAAGCUUGACGGAGCAACGCCGCGUGAGUGAUGAAGGUUUUCGGAUCGUAAAACUCUGUUAUUAGGGAAGAACAAAUGUGUAAGUAACUAUGCACGUCUUGACGGUACCUAAUCAGAAAGCCACGGCUAACUACGUGCCAGCAGCCGCGGUAAUACGUAGGUGGCAAGCGUUAUCCGGAAUUAUUGGGCGUAAAGCGCGCGUAGGCGGUUUUUUAAGUCUGAUGUGAAAGCCCGCGGCUCAACCGUGGAGGGUCAUUGGAAACUGGAAAACUUGAGUGCAGAAGAGGAAAGUGGAAUUCCAUGUGUAGCGGUGAAAUGCGCAGAGAUAUGGAGGAACACCAGUGGCGAAGGCGACUUUCUGGUCUGUAACUGACGCUGAUGUGCGAAAGCGUGGGGAUCAAACAGG